Molecule: ribosomal RNA, 344 nt
Filed under: Gemmatimonadota bacterium
Lineage: Bacteria; Pseudomonadati; Gemmatimonadota
Description: Gemmatimonadetes bacterium partial 16S ribosomal RNA
Rfam family: Bacterial small subunit ribosomal RNA
Source: RNAcentral
UAGGGAAUCUUCGGCAAUGGACGAAAGUCUGACCGAGCAACGCCGCGUGGGUAAAGAAGCGCCGGCUAACUACGUGCCAGCAGCCGCGGUAAUACGUAGGGCGCGAGCGUUGUCCGGAAUUAUUGGGCGUAAAGGGCUCGUAGGCGGUUUGUCGCGUCUAGCGUUUAAGGCUCGGGCUUAACCCGGGUUUGCGUUGGGUACGGGCAGGCUUGAGUGCGGUAGGGGUAACUGGAAUUCCUGGUGUAGCGGUGGAAUGCGCAGAUAUCAGGAGGAACACCGGUGGCGAAGGCGGGUUACUGGGCCGUUACUGACGCUGAGGAGCGAGAGCGUGGGGAGCGAACAGG